AAGUUACUAACUCAGAUUAGUGACUUUUCUGUUAGAUGUGAGUGUAUUGAACCAGUCUACAAAAUAUUUCCUGAAACUUGUGUUUUAUAUCUUGAAGGAAUGUUAGAAAUGCAAUUUUUUAUUACUGUGCUUCAGUUGAAUUUGAUUGUGUGUGUUGACUGCCAUCAUUGUUAAUUAUCACCAUUUUUAUUAUUAAUAGUAAUAAGCCAUCAUAAGUUGGAAAAACUAGUGAGACAGAAAAUCUGUAUUGAGAGUUGAGUGACAUUGAAAUUAUCACACAUACAUUGAAAGGUUAAGGUUUGCAACUUUAUUAAUAAUUUUAAAAUCUAAUUAAAAAAAAAUUGCAAAUCCCACUUGAGGAUGUCAGAAAGGUCAAACAUGCCAGAUCCACCUUAUAAGACCUGGGUGCAGCCUUUACCUCCAGAUCAUCAUCCCUUACCUGGAUCAACCACUAGACCUGAACAUGGCACCUACAUUCCACAGGACCAGAGAAAUGUUCCUCCUCAUCCUUCAUAUGUGCAGCCACACCAAUGUCAUCUUUCGUCUGGCCCAAGAAGUGUAAAUCAUAUUGUUCCCAAUAAUCCUCCACCUGUUAUUACAUGUCAUUCCAAUACACCAGGCCAACAACUACCACCACCUCCUACUACUCCCCUUAGUCAAAUCAACACGGCUAAUAUUUAUCACACUCGUAUCCCCCCUCCAUCUACUUUUUCAACGCCUCCACCCAUUUUUUCAGCACCACCACCUUCAUUCUCAUCCACUCUGCCCUAUUUUUCCAGACCUCCACCCCCUUUAACAUAUGACUUAGGAAACAUUCCAUUGUCUCAUGAUAGUCCAGUUAUUCCUCAGAGUCACCAGUGUUCCAGUUCCUUGACAACUAAAAAUUCAUGUCCUCCAUGGCACAGCGGUCCUCCUCCUCAAGUUAGUAAUCUACAAUCUGUACAACAAACAUCCAAGGACUCAGCCAGUGGCAGCUUUAUCUCGGAUCCCCUUACCAAAAGCACUAACUGUGGAUUCAUUAGGGAUGAUAACUGUACUCCAGAAACAUGGGAAGAAGAUCAGAAAUGGUUAAGAGAAUUUCAGGAAAGAAUGAAGAGUCGCCAGACACCACCACCAGCCAACACCAUGUCUAGGGAGAGGACCAUAAAGUUGGUGGAUGUUGAGAAGAUGGUAACUGAAUCACAAAUGUUGGCCAGUAGUUUACGAGAGGUGGAGGAGAAGAUGAACCAAGUAAGGGAAACUGCACAAAUUGAUGUAUGGGAGGACCUGGCACAACAAGCGGAGAAGAUAAAGUUAAAGCUAAAACAAGUGAUCAUCGGUUUCCAAGAUGAUAAUUUUAUCUGCAGUGUUCAAAAGUUAAUUAAUCAGCGAAGAAUGAAACGUAAGCACGUGAAAAGAAGGAAGAAGGAAAUACAGCUUGAGAAGGAACAGAUUAAGAAGGCAAGACAAGAGGAGGAAGAGAAAAUAGAUGCCUGGAGGGAAAAAUUAGAAGUCGAGGCAGAAGAGAAGAGGAGGGAAAAAGCCAUCAAAGCAGAAGCUGAUAGUAUUUUGGGAGAAGUCCGUCAAAAACAGAAUGACACUCUGAGAAUGCAACAACUGUUGGAAGCUCUCAUUACUCUACGUCUGACACGUAUAAACAAGGGUGCUGCUCAUGGGGAUGUAUCCACACCACAGAGGGAUCAACGAUUUGCUUCCACUAUAAAGGGUAUUGGUGAUGUAGUGAGGAGCCAGAUGAAAGAAUAUGAACUGGAAGAACAAACUCUUUGUGUCAUGAUGGAGGAAAGUGCCUCACAUCAGUCUUGUGGUGCAGGUAAGAAGGUGAAACUAUUAAGACGUGAAGCAGUGGUUAAGAAACUCCUCUUUGGUGAUUAUCCUCCUCUUGACGAAACAACAACACAAUCUUUCACUUCUGCAGAUGACUGUUUAGAGACACUCAUAAAAAGAAGGUGCGAUUGGGAUCAGUUCAUCACUGAUGAUGACAACCCCCUUGCCUCUUCAGUUCCUCUACACUGGGUUAAUCCACCAAGUCAUCCCACAACUCACUGGGCACAGUUUCAGGUCCAGUAGGAACUAUGAUCUGCAAAACAAGUUUUAGAUUAUUUAAAGGCCAGGACGAAGACCACACCUUCAGUCCCCACUCUUCAGACUCCCUAGAGUCUGUGUGGGACUCAGAUUGAUGUCUCCACUCCACCUUGAGAGUUCCCUUAGCCUCGAAGGGGACACCUGACGAUGACCAGACUUGUUCAUAGUGAUGUGAUCCAAUUUGUGGUCCUCGGAUCACCCCACGACUGCCCCGGAGCCAGUAGCUUCCCAGCAGGGAGCAAUAUAUCGAUCAUGUCGUUGAUUCGACAUGAUUGAAACGGCAGGUCCAUUUUUGGCCGAGGGCCCCAGACCCGACUCGUAUCGGAGUGUAACCGACCACAACAGCAGUCAUCAGUUGUUAGAGGCGCCAGUGCUAUACCCUGAGACAUGCCUUGGAGUUGUGGUCCACAGUGUGGUUGUAUGUGUUUGUUAAUAAUUAUCCCAUGUUGGGUAGUGGACCUAUGUAUUUGUUGAUAUCAGCAUUAACGUGUUGUGUGUGUGUGCAUCUCCUAUGCACUACCAACACUCUGUGAAGUAUCUUAAGUAAGGUUGUCUUAUAACUGGAUGUAAUGAAAGUACCUCAUAAUGUGUGAGAAGUAAAGUUGUCCAAUUGGGACUAUGAAUAAAGCCUGGUAACUGUAAUGAAUGUACCACUAGAAGAUGUGGGUGAAAUAGAAGUACCCACUUGGAGUGGCAGUUAAGUAAAGCCAAGAGUUGUCAUGUAACUAUGUACUGUGAGUAGGGCCAAGGAACUGGUCCUGCUAUGUAAUGUAAUGUAACACCAAUAAGAGUAAUAUGAGUAACUUGCAGAGGAGGAAAAUUAAGAAAAUAAGUAAAUAAGAAAUACUGAGUUUGCAGUUGAAUAAGCUUAGAGUUGCACCUUGAAGUUAUAUGUUAAUGAUAUCUCUUUUUCCCUUUGAUUUCAUAUUAAUAAACCUGUUCUUAAGAGUA
RNAcentral lists this unclassified non-coding RNA (3033 nucleotides) under Homarus americanus (American lobster). Its description in RNAcentral is "programmed cell death protein 7-like, transcript variant X1". Lineage: Eukaryota; Metazoa; Arthropoda; Malacostraca; Decapoda; Nephropidae. The record is from RNAcentral.